AUAGCGUAUAUUAAAGUUGUUGCAGUUAAAAAGCUCGUAGUUGAACUUCAGACCUGGCUGGAUGGUCUGCCGAAAGGUAUGUACUGUCUGGCUGGGCCUUACCUCUUGGUGAGCCGGCAUGCCCUUCACUGGGUGUGUCGGGGAACCAGGACUUUUACCUUGAGAAAAUUAGAGUGUUCAAAGCAGGCUUAUGCUCGAAUACAUUAGCAUGGAAUAAUGAAAUAGGACGUUUGAUCCUAUUUUGUUGGUUUCUAGGAUCGACGUAAUGAUUAAUAGGGAUAGUUGGGGGCAUUAGUAUUCAAUUGUCAGAGGUGAAAUUCUUGGAUUUAUUGAAGACUAACUAUUG
This 346-nucleotide ribosomal RNA is filed under the name uncultured eukaryote. Its description in RNAcentral is "SSU rRNA". It matches the Rfam family "Eukaryotic small subunit ribosomal RNA", at positions 594 to 945 of the family's 1831-position model. The record is from RNAcentral.